CAGGGUUCAAAUUCAUCUUUCCCGGAAACGAGAGGUACCGAAAGGUCACCUCCUUCGUUUCCUCUACCCUGCACACAUACAUAGUAACAUAGGUAAUACGAAUUACAAGUAAUUACAUAUGCUUACACACGAACGGAGUCAUAUAUAAGCUUGAAGUGAUUGUAACCCCCCAAGAUACCAAGUCUAGCUCCGCCACUAUGUUUAUAUAUCCACACACAUAUAUAGAGCUUCAGUUGACAGCAUAGUCAACGAGCUUGCUGAGAACUAGUUACCCACUAAUACUAUAAUUAGUGAAGUGUAUAGUUCAAUUUUAGGACAUACUUGACGAGCUUGCUGAGCUCCUUGUCUAUAGAAAUGAAGCCAUCGCGGUUGUCAUCUGCAUAAUUUUUAGCAAACCAAGCUCUUAAAGGAGGAUAUUUCGAGCCAAGUUCUUUGAAGGCUUCUUUCAGCUCCUCUUUGGAAAGUUGAGCAUCUCCAUUCUUGUCAUGACUUUUGAAGACAUUCAUUAUCUGCUCCUCGGUGUAGGGAACGUUGUUCGGGACCUUAUGAUUUGUAUCGAAAACCAUCUUCUUCUAAUUUAUUAACUGCAAAACUAACAAGGAUAAGGA
Molecule: long non-coding RNA, 608 nt
Filed under: Prunus dulcis (almond)
Lineage: Eukaryota; Viridiplantae; Streptophyta; Magnoliopsida; Rosales; Rosaceae
Description: sRNA ncRNA
Source: RNAcentral